CUACGUGCCAGCAGCCGCGGUAAUACGGAAGGUCCGGGCGUUAUCCGGAUUUAUUGGGUUUAAAGGGAGCGUAGGCUGGAGAUUAAGUGUGUUGUGAAAUGUAGACGCUCAACGUCUGACUUGCAGCGCAUACUGGUUUCCUUGAGUACGCACAACGUUGGCGGAAUUCGUCGUGUAGCGGUGAAAUGCUUAGAUAUGACGAAGAACUCCGAUUGCGAAGGCAGCUGACGGGAGCGCAACUGACGCUGAAGCUCGAAGGUGCGGGUACCGAACAGGAUUAGAUACCCUGGUAGUCCGCACAGUAAACGAUGGAUGCCCGCUGUUGGUGCCUGGUAUCAGCGGCUAAGCGAAAGCAUUAAGCAUCCCACCUGGGGAGUACGCCGGCAACGGUGAAACUCAAAGGAAUUGACGGGGGCCCGCACAAGCGGAGGAACAUGUGGUUUAAUUCGAUGAUACGCGAGGAACCUUACCCGGGCUUGAA
RNAcentral lists this ribosomal RNA (481 nucleotides) under uncultured bacterium. RNAcentral describes it as "bacterial SSU rRNA". It matches the Rfam family "Bacterial small subunit ribosomal RNA", at positions 501 to 985 of the family's 1533-position model. The record is from RNAcentral.